RNAcentral lists this small RNA (125 nucleotides) under Marmota monax (woodchuck). Lineage: Eukaryota; Metazoa; Chordata; Mammalia; Rodentia; Sciuridae. The record is from RNAcentral.
GCUGGGUGAGGUGCUGCAAGCCUGUAAUCCCAGCAGCUUGGGAUGCUGAGACAGGAGGAUCCAGAGUUCAAAGCCAGCCUCAGCAAAAGCAAAGUGCUAAGCAACUCAGUGAGACCCUGUCUCUA